CCUACGGGACGCUGCAGUGAGGAAUAUUGGUCAAUGGACGAGAGUCUGAACCAGCCAAGUAGCGUGAAGGAUGACUGCCCUAUGGGUUGUAAACUUCUUUUAUAUGGGAAUAAAAUGUUCCACGUGUGGGAUUUUGUAUGUACCAUAUGAAUAAGGAUCGGCUAACUCCGUGCCAGCAGCCGCGGUAAUACGGAGGAUCCGAGCGUUAUCCGGAUUUAUUGGGUUUAAAGGGAGCGUAGGUGGAUUGUUAAGUCAGUUGUGAAAGUUUGCGGCUCAACCGUAAAAUUGCAGUUGAAACUGGCAGUCUUGAGUACAGUAGAGGUGGGCGGAAUUCGUGGUGUAGCGGUGAAAUGCUUAGAUAUCACGAAGAACUCCGAUUGCGAAGGCAGUUCACUGGACUGCAACUGACACUGAGGCUCGAAAGUGUGGGUAUCAAACAGGAUUAGAUACCCGUGUAGUC
Molecule: ribosomal RNA, 460 nt
Filed under: uncultured bacterium
Lineage: Bacteria
Description: partial 16S ribosomal RNA
Rfam family: Bacterial small subunit ribosomal RNA
Source: RNAcentral